This 311-nucleotide ribosomal RNA is filed under the name Zodarion italicum. RNAcentral's name for it is "partial 12S ribosomal RNA". Lineage: Eukaryota; Metazoa; Arthropoda; Arachnida; Araneae; Zodariidae. The record is from RNAcentral.
AAGUAGUAAUUUUUAAUAAAACUUAUUUAUUUUGGCGGCAUUUCAUCUUAUUAGAGGAACUUGUUUAUUAAUCGACAACCCCCGAUCACUUUCACUUUAUUAUAAAAUUUAUAUACCGCCAUCUAAAGAAUUAAUAUAAAAAUUUAUUCAAAACAACAUCUAAAAAGAUAGGUCAAGGUGUAAUCUAUUAUAAAGUUUAAAUGAGUUACUUUAAAUAUAAUUUAAAAUUAACAAAUAAAAAUUUAUAAAUUUUAAGGAUUUAAAAGUAAUAUAUUAAUAAUAUUUAUCUAUGAAUUAGAUUAUAAAUGUGU